Molecule: small RNA, 531 nt
Filed under: Pongo abelii (Sumatran orangutan)
Lineage: Eukaryota; Metazoa; Chordata; Mammalia; Primates; Hominidae
Description: retained intron
Source: RNAcentral
UGAGGGGGAGCUGGGAGCUGGCUGGAGGUGGGAGAAGGAGCCAAGGAGUGGAGGCUCACUGGGAUGGGCAAAUGGGUGGGAUUGUCCAGUAGGAAGGCAUGACACCCCUGUCCUCGCCUCAGGACUAUCAGCGCAUGCUGGAUCUGAUGCGGGACAUCAUCUUGGCCACAGACCUGGCCCACCAUCUCCGCAUCUUCAAGGACCUCCAGAAGAUGGCUCAGGUGGGCUAUGACCGAAACAACAAGCAGCACCACAGACUCCUCCUCUGCCUCCUCAUGACCUCCUGUGACCUCUCUGACCAGACCAAGGGCUGGAAGACCACGAGAAAGAUCGCGGAGCUGAUCUACAAAGAAUUCUUCUCCCAGGGAGACCUGGAGAAGGCCAUGGGCAACAGGCCGAUGGAGAUGAUGGACCGGGAGAAGGCCUAUAUCCCUGAGCUGCAAAUCAGCUUCAUGGAGCACAUUGCAAUGCCCAUCUACAAGCUGUUGCAGGACCUGUUCCCCAAAGCAGCAGAGCUGUACGAGCGCGUGG